GGCAGAGAGUGGCCACGUGUGC
This 22-nucleotide non-coding RNA is filed under the name Arabidopsis thaliana (thale cress). The record is from RNAcentral. Lineage: Eukaryota; Viridiplantae; Streptophyta; Magnoliopsida; Brassicales; Brassicaceae.